GGAAGGAACCAAUGAACAGCUUAUUUGGGGACUGAAUUCUAUAUGGCACUUCCUCUUUCUUCCACUGAGUUGAACUGUUACUAAUGGAGUCAGUCAGUCAUGACUAAAAGGAAGAAAGGAAAGAACAGAGGAAGGGAACAAGAGAGGAAGAGAGAGACAGGAAAAAAGGAAGAAGGAAGGAAGAAAGGAAGGAAAGAUCAGAGAGAAAUGACAGAAAUGACAGAAGGAAGAUAUCAAGUAUUUUUAUUAAAAAUAAAAAUGUCCUUGAUCAAAACCU
RNAcentral lists this long non-coding RNA (277 nucleotides) under Monodelphis domestica (gray short-tailed opossum). RNAcentral's name for it is "lncRNA (ENSMODG00000045668.1)". The record is from RNAcentral. Lineage: Eukaryota; Metazoa; Chordata; Mammalia; Didelphimorphia; Didelphidae.